GGCUACACACGUGCUACAAUGGCAUAUACAAAGAGAAGCGACCUCGCGAGAGCAAGCGGACCUCAUAAAGUAUGUCGUAGUCCGGAUUGGAGUCUGCAACUCGACUCCAUGAAGUCGGAAUCGCUAGUAAUCGUAGAUCAGAAUGCUACGGUGAAUACGUUCCCGGGCCUUGUACACACCGCCCGUCACACCAUGGGAGUGGGUUGCAAAAGAAGUAGGUAGCUUAACCUUCG
This 233-nucleotide ribosomal RNA is filed under the name Acinetobacter baumannii. Its description in RNAcentral is "partial 16S ribosomal RNA". It matches the Rfam family "Bacterial small subunit ribosomal RNA", at positions 1212 to 1444 of the family's 1533-position model. The record is from RNAcentral. Lineage: Bacteria; Pseudomonadati; Pseudomonadota; Gammaproteobacteria; Moraxellales; Moraxellaceae.